UAGGGAAUCUUCCGCAAUGGGCGAAAGCUUGACGGAGCAACGCCGCGUGAGUGAUGAAGGUCUUCGGAUCGUAAAACUCUGUUAUUAGGGAAGAACAAAUGUGUAAGUAACUAUGCACGUCUUGACGGUACCUAAUCAGAAAGCCACGGCUAACUACGUGCCAGCAGCCGCGGUAAUACGUAGGUGGCAAGCGUUAUCCGGAAUUAUUGGGCGUAAAGCGCGCGUAGGCGGUUUUUUAAGUCUGAUGUGAAAGCCCACGGCUCAACCGUGGAGGGUCAUUGGAAACUGGAAAACUUGAGUGCAGAAGAGGAAAGUGGAAUUCCAUGUGUAGCGGUGAAAUGCGCAAAGAUAUGGAGGAACACCAGUGGCGAAGGCGACUUUCUGGUCUGUAACUGACGCUGAUGUGCGAAAGCGUGGGGAUCAAACAGG
This 429-nucleotide ribosomal RNA is filed under the name Actinomycetes bacterium. RNAcentral describes it as "Actinobacteria bacterium partial 16S ribosomal RNA". It matches the Rfam family "Bacterial small subunit ribosomal RNA", at positions 355 to 776 of the family's 1533-position model. The record is from RNAcentral. Lineage: Bacteria; Bacillati; Actinomycetota; Actinomycetes.